This 4524-nucleotide long non-coding RNA is filed under the name Homo sapiens (human). The record is from RNAcentral. Lineage: Eukaryota; Metazoa; Chordata; Mammalia; Primates; Hominidae.
GCCAGUCCUUCCUGUGCUAGUCUCGUAAUAGUGAAUAAAUCUCACGAGAUCUGAUGGGUUUAUCAGGGGGUUCCGCUUUUGCUUCUUCCUCAUUUUUUCUUGCUGCCAUGUAAGAAGUGCCUUUCGCCUCCUGCCAUGAUUCUGAGUCCUCCUCAGCCAUGUGGAACUGUAAGUCCAAUGAAACCUCUUUUUCUUCCCAGUCUCAGGUAUGUCUUUAUCAGCUGCCUGAAAAUGGACUAAUACAGUAAAUUGGCACCAAUAGAGUGGGGCAUUGCUGAAAAGAUACCCGAAAAUGUGGAAGUGACUUUGGAACUGGGUAACAGGCAGAGAUUGGAACAGUUUGAAGGGCUCAGAAGAAGACAGGAAAAUUUGCAGCCUGACUAUGCAACAGAAAAGAAAACCCCAUUUUCUGGGGAGAAAUUCAAGCUGGCUGCAGAAAUUAGCAUAAGUAGCAAGGAGCCUAAUGUUAAUCCCCAAGACCAUGGGGAAAAUGUCUCCAGGCUAUGUCAGAGACCUUCAUGGAGGCCCCUCCCAUCACGGGACCAGAGGCCCAGGAGGAAACUGUGGUUUUGUAGGCCAUGCCCAGGGUCCCUGUGCUGUGUGCAAUCUAGGGACUUGGUGCCCUGUGUCCCAGCUGCUCCAGCCAUGGCUGAAAGGGGCCAAUGUAUAGUCGGGCUGUGGCUUCAGAGGGUGCAAGCCCAAGCCUUGGCAGCUUCCACAUGGUAUUGAUCCUGUGGGUGCACAGAAGUCAAGAAUUGAGGUUUGGGAACCUCUGCCUAGAUUUCAGAAGAUGUAUGGAAAUGCAUAGAUGCCCAGGCAGAAGUUUGUUGCAGGGGCAGGGCCUUCAUGAAGAACCUCUGUUAGGGCAGUGCAGAAGGAAAAUGUGGGAUUGGAGCCCCCACACAGAGUCCCUACUGGGGCACUGCCUAGUGGAGCUGUGAGAAGAUGGCCACUGACCUCCAGACCCCAGAAUAGUAGAUCCAUCUACCACUUGCACCAUGCACCUGGAAAAGCUGUAGACACUCAGUGCCAGACUAUGAAAACAGCCAGGAGGGAGGCUGUACCCUGCAAAGCCACAAGGGCAGAGCUGCCCAAGACCGUGGGAACCUACGUUUUACAUCAGCAUGACCUUGAUGUCUAAGGAGAUCAUUUUGGAGCUUUAAAAUUUGACUGUCCUGCUCUCCCUCUCCCUCUCCCUCUCCCUCUCCCCACGGUCUCCCUCUCCCUCUCUUUCCACGGUCUCCCUCUGAUGCCGAGCCGAAGCUGGACUGUACUGCUGCCAUCUCGGCUCACUGCAACCUCCCUGCCUGAUUCUCCUGCCUCAGCCUGCAGAGUGCCUGCGAUUGCAGGCGCGCGCUGCCACGCCUGACUGGUUUUCGUAUUUUUUUGGUGGAGACGGGGUUUCGCUGUGUUGGCCGGGCUGGUCUCCAGCUCCUAACCGCGAGUGAUCCGCCAGCCUCGGCCUCCCGAGGUGCCGGGAUUGCAGACGGAGUCUGGUUCACUCAGCGCUCAAUGGUGCCCAGGCUGGAGUGCAGUGGCGUGAUCUCGGCUCGCUACAACCUCCACCUCCCAGCCGCCUGCCUUGGCCCCCCAAAGUGCCGAGAUUGCAGCCUCUGCCCGGCCGCCACCCCGUCUGGGAAGUAAGGAGCAUCUCUGCCUGGCCGCCCAUCGUCUGGGAUGUGAGGAGCCCCUCUGCCUGGCUACCCAGUCUGGAAAAUGAGGAGCGUCUCUGCCCGGCCGCCAUCCCAUAUAGGAAGUGAGGAGCGCCUCUUCCCGACCGCCAUCCCAUCUAGGAAGUGAGGAGCGUCUCUGCCCGUCCGCCCAUCGUCUGAGAUGUGGGGAGCGCCUCUGCCCUGCCACCCCGUCUGGGAUGUGAGGAGCGCCUCGUCUGGGAGGUGAGGAGCAUCUCUGACCGGUCGCCCCGUCUGAGAAGUGAGGAGACCCUCCGCCUGGCAACCGCCCCCUCUGAGAAGUGAGGAGCCCCUCCACCCGGCAGCCGCCACGUCAGAGAAGUGAGGAGCCCCUCCGCCUGGCAGCCACCCCGUCUGGGAAGUGAGGAGCUUCUCCGCCCGGCAGCCACCCCGUCCGGGAGGGAGGUGGGAGUCAACCCCCACCAGGCCAGCUGCCCCGUCUGGGAGGGAGGUGGGGGUGUCAGACCCCGCCCGGCCAGCCGCCCUGUCCGGGAGGUGAGGGCCGCCUCUGCCCGGCCGCCCCUACUGGGAAGUGAGGAGCUCCUCUGCCCGGCCAGCCGCCCCGUCCGGGAGGGAGGUUGGGGGGUCAGCCCCCCGCCCGGCCAGCCGCCCCAUCCGGGAGGGAGGUGGGGGGGUCAGCCCCCCGCCCGGCCAGCCGCCCCGUCCGGGAGGGAGGUGGGGGGGUCAGCCCCCCGCCCGGCCAGCCGCCCCGUCCGGGAGGGAGGUGGGGGGGUCAGCCCCCCGCCUGGCCAGCCGCCCCGUCCGGGAGGUGAGGGGCGCCUCUGCCCGGCCGCCCCUACUGGGAAGUGAGGAGCCCCUCUGCUCGGCCAGCCGCCCCGUCCGGGAGGGAGGUGGGGGGGUCAGCCCCCCGCCCGGCCAGCCGCCCCGUCCGGGAGGUGAGGGCCGCCUCUGCCCGGCCGCCCCUACUGGGAAGUGAGGAGCCCCUCUGCUCGGCCAGCCGCCCCGUCCGGGAGGGAGGUGGGGGGGUCAGCCCCCCGCCCGGCCAGCCGCCCCGUCCGGGAGGUGAGGGCCGCCUCUGCCCGUCCCUACUGGGAAGUGAGGAGCCCCUCUGCUCGGCCAGCCGCCCCGUCCGGGAGGGAGGUGGGGGGGUCAGCCCCCCGCCCGGCCAGCCGCCCCGUCCGGGAGGUGAGGGCCGCCUCUGCCCGGCCGCCCCUACUGGGAAGUGAGGAGCCCCUCUGCUCGGCCAGCCGCCCCGUCCGGGAGGGAGGUGGGGGGGUCAGCCCCCCGCCCGGCCAGCCGCCCUGUCCGGGAGGUGAGGGCCGCCUCUGCCCGGCCGCCCCUACUGGGAAGUGAGGAGCCCCUCUGCUCGGCCAGCCGCCCCGUCCGGGAGGGAGGUGGGGGGGUCAGCCCCCCGCCCGGCCAGCCGCCCCGUCCGGGAGGGAGGUGGGGGGGUCAGCCCCCCGCCUGGCCAGCCGCCCCGUCCGGGAGGUGAGGGGCGCCUCUGCCCGGCCGCCCCUACUGGGAAGUGAGGAGCCCCUCUGCUCGGCCAGCCGCCCCGUCCGGGAGGGAGGUGGGGGGUCAGCCCCCCACCCGGCCAGCCGCCCCGUCCGGGAGGUGAGGGGCGCCUCUGCCCGGCUGCCCUUACUGGGAAGUGAGGAGCCCCUCUGCCCGGCCGCCACCCCGUCUGGGAGGUGUGCCCAGCAGCUCAUUGAGAACGGGCCAUGAUGACAAUGGCGGUUUUGUGGAAUAGAAAGGGGGGAAAGGUGGGGAAAAGAUUGAGAGGUUGGAUGGUUGCCGUGUCUGUGUAGAAAGAGGUAGACAUGGGAGACUUCUCAUUUUGUUCUGUACUAAGAAAAAUUAUUCUGCCUUGGGAUCCUGUUGAUCUGUGACCUUACCCCCAACCCUGUGCUCUCUGAAACAUGUGCUGUGUCCACUCAGGGUUAAAUGGAUUAAGGGCGGUGCAAGAUGUGCUUUGUUAAACAGAUGCUUGAAGGCAGCAUGCUCGUUAAAAGUCAUCACCACUCCCUAAUCUCAAGUACCCCGGGACACAAACACUGCGGAAGGCCGCAGGGUCCUCUGCCUAGGAAAACCAGAGACCUUUGUUCACUUGUUUAUCUGCUGACCUUCCCUCCACUAUUGUCCAAUGACCCUGCCAAAUCCCCCUCUGCGAGAAACACCCAAGAAUGAUCAAUAAAAAAAAAUAAAAAAUAAAAACAUUAUAUUAUCGACUAUACCUUAAAUUAUAAUAAAAAGUUAUAUAUGUAAAAUUUGACUGUCCUGCUGGAUUUUGAACUUGCAUGGGCCUUGUAACCCCUUUGUUUUGGCCACUUUCUCCCAUUUGGAAUGGCUGUAUUUACCCAAUACCUGUAUUCCCAUUGUAUCUAGGAAGUAACUAGCUUGCUUUUGAAUUUACAGGCUCAUAGACAGAGACUUUGGGGGACUGUUGGGAAGGCAUAAUUAGUUUUGAAAUGUGAAGACAUGAGAUUUGGAGGGGCCAGGCAGGGGCAGAAUGAUAUGGUUUGGCUGCGUCCCCACCCAAAUCUCAACUUGGAUUGUAUCUCCCAGAACUCCCAUGUGUUGUGGGAGGGACCCAGCGGGGAGGUAAUUGACUCAUGGGGACUGGUCAUUCCCAACGCUAUUCUCGUGAUAGUGAACAAGUCUCACAAGAUCUGAUGGGUUUAUCAGGGGGUUCCGCUUUUGCUUCUUCCUCAUCUUCUCUUGCUGCCACGAUGUAAGAAGUGCCUUUUGCCUCCUGCCAUGAUUCUGAGGUCUCCCCAGCCAUGUGGAAUUGUAAGUCCAAUUAAACCUCUUUUUCAUCCCAGUCUCGGGUAUGUCUUUAUCAGCUGUGUGAAAACAGACUAAUACACUCAGG